GGAUCAAAGCUUUGUUGGUCACCUUGAAACUUGUGUGCUCCGAUUGAAAAAAACCUCCCAUCUUUUAGAGUUAUACUUGUAAAUAAUAUCCAGUACAUUGGGAGACAUCCUCUUGGCUAGUCUUUAAUAUUCCCCUCCAGCCUUAGGUGAAGAUGUCAGCAUUGAUUUAGCAUAAGCAAAGCUCAUUCCCCUUCAAUUUGAAGCCCUUGCAUAAGACAUAAUAACUUUUCUUCUCUUUCACAGAGGGAAGCUCUUACUGCACACUAUCCAAAACAACCCUGUAGAGACAUUGGUGGUGAUGUCUUCAGUAAGGAGGGGACCCUCACCAUGAAACUGGUAAAUGUGCUCGAGAUUGACAUGCUGUUUUCAGAUAUCGCUGAAACUUUCAACAAGCAGCAUGGGAAUCACUGGGCCAUGAAGGAAGCCAUCCAAAGGCUGAAAGAAGUCUCUGGCUGUGCUCCCACUAAUAGUCUUGCAGCCUGCAUAGAGAAUAUAAAGCAGCAGCACGGUGCCUGCAAUGUACAGGUGCACAUGGAGGGCUAUAGGUUUUCACUCGUUGCAGAGGAAAAAGAAGUGCCUGAAAAAUUGGAGCAAGCCCAACGGCAGGUAGGGGAGCUGAAUCAUGCCACAAAGUGUGUCAUUGCUAUGGAAAUGAAGCUCCAGGAAAUGGUCUGCUCUGUGCUUCAGCGUCAGAGUCAGCUGGAGGAGACAGUGAAAGCUGGAAACCCAGAGUACCUGGACCAAGUACGGCUAGAAGUUAAUCUGAGAGAGAACUUUCAGAACGUAAGCCUGGCCAAAGACCUCUCAAAGCAGUAUGGAGAAGAUGCCAGCAGGGUGCUGAAGGAAAUGGCCCAGUUAGCUGGCCUGACCCUAUAAAGGGGCUUCAGAAAUUGGGAUAGAAUUGGAGUUCAUGUCCUGCAUUUAUUACCCAAGGAUUGUGUACAUAAUGAUGAAUUAGAGCCCACUCUGGUAGUGCAGUCAUCAUGUGGACAACAAAUAUGCACUCAGCAAAUAGCUUAUGGGUAGCCCUGGGUAUUAAGUUUGUUCUGUUCGCUCAAGGAACCUUAGCCAGGGCACAAGAAUUUGUCCCCAGAGGGCCUUUGACUUCCAUCUUGAAAAUCACCAGUGGACAGAAGGUACCUCCUCCCUUUACUAUAGCAAUGUCAACACUUGAGUUCUAAUGCAGGAUUUCAAUCCCUACUCUGUCUUUCUGGCUGGAGGCCACCCAUAGAUUCCACUUUGUGCAAGUUGAAUUCCUGAGCAGCAGGUUAAGUCAGCUUUCCAGCUGCUUUGCCACACCAGAGCAAUGCAAAGCAACCAGAACUAGGCCAGAGAGUGUAUGUGACUUGUUUAAGACAACCUGUCUGUCACAGUUUAUAUUGGAAUUCAGUAGCAUUCCCACCCUUAUUUUUUAGGUCAAACUAGACUGCCUCUCAAAUCUUAAACACAGCUUGUGUGCUAAAACCAGGUGUUCAGAUUAAAGGCCAGAAGUACCCAUGGAAGGUAUAGAGAUAUACUCUACAUUGCUUAUUAUUGCUAUAGAUAAUCAUCUGAACUUAAAGGCAUGUAUCUCCUGUGCUACUAGUUGCUGCUUUUCCUCCUCACUCAUCUCUUGAAAUUCCCAAAAGUACACAUGCUUCCCAUGUUCAUUGAGACAGAACCUUGAGGCAGGCAACACGUUACUAAAAUAGCACGGGUGUGUUGCAAGUUGGUAUUAAGAUGCAUCAGCAUAGCAGUACAGGGCCCCAGGACUGGGAUAACAGGAGUUGUUACAGAUGUGGAUUAAACUGCAUUGGAAAGGUUGGCAAGACUAGGAUUUCAGGACUGCUUCUCUUUAGGUAUGAGGUGUAUUAACAUAGAUGUGUGGGGACUGCAGAGCAUCAGGAAAACUGUGAUGGGGGACUAGGACUGGGACAGCAUGGACUGGUGUGCUGAAGAUCAGGUGUGAGGGACAUUGCCAGACUGAAUCGAUUAGCACUAUGCUGGAUUAUUAACAGCACUAUUCCACUACUUCUACAAGAGCACUACAUGAACUCAAACAAUGGAAAUAGGACAACCUGCAAAUAUCGGGUGCUUGUCAUGAGAGUAAUGGAAUCUUGGCUGAACAGUUCGCAGGGACACUAGCCUUUGAAGUCCAACUGGAUCACAGCUGCAGUGCCUCACGCACACUCAGCUGAGCCUGAGGGGAAAGGAAGGUCAGAAUAAUUCCAUAACACUUUAGCCCAGGAGGCCUGUCAUUAAAAUGGGCCUCUUUGGAGAAAGGACUGUGUGACUGGGGGAGAGUGGGAUGGUUUUGCAAGUGCUGGACCUGGCUGGUGGUUGAAAAGCUCAUUGAAUUUGUCACAUUUUUGAGAGAUGAUGGACAAAAUAGAAACCACAAGUGAAAUCCUAUCCAGCCUGCUAGAGCUCCAUAAAUAACUACAAAGGAGCUCAAUCUCUGGGUUUUUAGAUUGUCACUCCUGUACCCCAUAUUGUUGUUUUAAAUUUUGUUCUCAUUUGCCAUUGCUCACCCCCAAAAUACAUCAGAGACCCCAAGAGACUUAUCUUGCCCUUACACAUCCUCUCACCAUCCCUCAUCUCAUCACACACCUCACUGGGACAGUUUACUGCAGGUUUCUUUGCUCUCUCAGCGGUGAGCUGCUCUCUGUAAAUAUCCACCAGACUCUGUCCUGCCAGAAAUCCAAACUAUUCAGACAUUUCCUUUUGGAGUUUCAGGAUGCCCGCUUGCUAGAUGCCGGCUUUGCACAAACUCACAAAAACCCAGCAGAGAAAUGCUGAUCGCUAUUAUUAUUUUCUUGGACCUAAAUGCAAUCAAAUGCUCCGGCAUUCAGAUCAGACUGGGCAUAUGUCACCCCUUCCUUGCCUAUCUCCCAAACUUUCUCUCUCUCUCUAGUUCUUUUCAUUUUGUUGUUGAAGGAACUUGGGAAAUAAGUACGUUGCCACAGCUAUUUCCUGCUGCUCUGCCGGUAACAUCUUGAAAACUGCAAGAUAUGCCUCUUUUUUCAAACAAAUGGGCAUUUUCAGUUGUCAGUGGCUCACAAAGCUCACCUUCUGUAUUUGCUUUCUUGGUGCAUUGAGUUCUCUGUGGCCUAUCACUGCCCCUCAUGAAGGAAAAUAACCCAGAUGGCUUACCCCAACAAAUCCUGCAUUCCCUGAUUAUCACAGAGAGAUAGCUGUGAUCACACUAUGUUGUCUGCUAGGGCUGUGUUGCAUUGUGUGUGGCUCUUCCUGAUUAGAGAGGGGGUGGGUGAGCGUGUUAGUCAACAGUAUUUAUGAUCCUUUUAAUAAAAUAUAC
Molecule: long non-coding RNA, 3295 nt
Organism: Gopherus agassizii (Agassiz's desert tortoise)
Lineage: Eukaryota; Metazoa; Chordata; Testudines; Testudinidae
Source: Ensembl